AGUGGCGCACGGGUGAGUAACACGUGACUAACCUACCCUUGAGUGGGGGAUAACUGAGGGAAACCUUAGCUAAUACCGCAUAAUACCCACGGGUCAAAGGAGCAAUUCGCUCGAGGAGGGGGUCGCGGCCGAUUAGUUAGUUGGCGGGGUAAUGGCCCACCAAGACGAUGAUCGGUAUCCGGCCUGAGAGGGCGCACGGACACACUGGAACUGAAACACGGUCCAGACUCCUACGGGAGGCAGCAGUGGGGAAUUUUGCGCAAUGGGGGAAACCCUGACGCAGCAACACCGCGUGGAGGAUGAAGUCCUUCGGGACGUAAACUCCUUUCGAUCGGGACGAUUAUGACGGUACCGGAAGAAGAAGCCCCGGCUAACUUCGUGCCAGCAGCCGCGGUAAUACGAGGGGGGCGAGCGUUGUUCGGAAUUAUUGGGCGUAAAGGGUGCGUAGGCGGUUUGGUAAGUCUUGUGUGAAAUCUAUGGGCUCAACUCAUAGUCUGCACGAGA
Molecule: ribosomal RNA, 504 nt
Filed under: uncultured bacterium
Lineage: Bacteria
Description: bacterial SSU rRNA
Rfam family: Bacterial small subunit ribosomal RNA
Source: RNAcentral